Molecule: transfer RNA, 60 nt
Filed under: Bacteroidales bacterium
Lineage: Bacteria; Pseudomonadati; Bacteroidota; Bacteroidia; Bacteroidales
Description: tRNA-His
Rfam family: tRNA
About the family: Transfer RNA (tRNA) molecules are approximately 80 nucleotides in length. Their secondary structure includes four short double-helical elements and three loops (D, anti-codon, and T loops).
Source: RNAcentral
AGCUCAGUUGGUUAGAGCACUAGUUUGUGGCACUAGGGGUCGUGGGUUCGAAUCCCAUCU